Lycium barbarum (goji berry) is the source of this 11801-nucleotide RNA transcript. RefSeq lists it as uncharacterized. The record is from RefSeq and is a predicted model, not a curated record. Lineage: Eukaryota; Viridiplantae; Streptophyta; Magnoliopsida; Solanales; Solanaceae. The transcript has 4 exons.
GUUCCGGAAAUGUCUUAUUCUCUGGUCUGCCUUAAUGGGUGUUAGUGUCUGGAUAUUAAGUCUCUCCCGUAAACUUUGAAUUUCCAGUCAUUGUUUGGACAAAAUUUUCAGUUACUCUUCAAUGACCAAUUCAAUUUACUCCUAAGAGUUCUAUCGUAUACUUAUUUUGAACUCAGAAUAGAUUCUUUUCUUUGUUGUCUGAGAAGUACUUUCUUUAAUGUACCCACCUCCCUAAAGCUAUAGCCAAUGCUGAACCUUAGCAGGUAGAAUUCUUUUGCAUCCUAUCCUGGAUCCAAUCCAAAUUCAAUUUUUGCUCCUUUACGUGAAAAAAGAAUAUAACUUAGGGUUUAAAAGGUGAACAUUUCAUAAUGAGUUACGUUUUCUUCAUGAGUAUGAAUGCACCAGGGGGGUUACAUUUUCUUAACAAAAAUUGCUUUCAAAGAAGUCCACAAAGCUCAAGGAUCUUUCUAAGCCAUUUACAUUGGUCCACCUAUUAGAAGUCAUUGUUACAUCGCUUGAAGCGAUGAAGCGACGCAAAGCGAGGUUAAUCGCUUCAUAGGUGAAGCUAUGCACUUCAAUCAAGUGUGUGCUUCAAGCGACGAUUCAUAAAGUGAUCUAAACCAAAAAUGGUUAGUUCUUUUGGUCUCAACACUGAGUUGGAUCAAUAUCGGCAUUUAUAAAGUGAUCUAAGCAAAAAAUGGUUAUUUCUUGGGUCUCAGCACUGUGUUGGAUUAAUAUCGUCAUUAUUGUAUAUUUUUAUAUUGGAUGUUGAAAUUACUUAUUUGAAUUGCAAUUUGAUUAGUAUAGUACUAAAUUAUUAUGUGUUGUGUAUUUUAAAUUUUCUUGCAAUUGUGUGCUUCACUUCUCGCUUUUUACUUCAAGUUCUAAGGACCUUAUCCUUCUCCGCGCUUUUCACUUUUAAAAUCACGGGCUCUGUUUACCCAAAAGAAAGAGAAAGAAAAAAGGAUAAGGCUCUUGAAAAGUUGUGUUUUACUUCUUGGGAUAAAAGGCAUGAACAGGUGACCAGAUAUAAUUAAGGACUAUUUAUAAAUUAAUUAUGCAUUUAUUAAACAUAACAAGAUGUUAAGUCAAAAGAUUGAUUAGAUUUAUUGGAACUUUCUCAAUAAUUGUUUGGAUACCCUGCUAAGCAUUUCAUCCUAGGAAACCUUCUAAAUAAGUGUGAUAACGUCAAAUACUCUAGAGUAGUCAUUAAAUACAGCAAUCAGUCAAUCAUUCAACUAUGUUUUGAUUUAAGAUUAGUUUGUCACUAUAUGAAUCCUUUACAUUUCUACCCGGUAUUUAGAGGAUUCAUCAUAUUUAGACUAUCUUUAUGCUGACUGUCAACGUGCCAGAACCCUCUGUCUUUUUUGAAGUUUCCGGAACCCUCCUCUUGUAUCCAAUUGGGAUCAGCUUUGCGUUACAAAGCUCACAAAGUAAUAGUUUACUUCGAUUUCUGAUGUUAGAAGGAGAAAUUUAAAGACACUAGAAAAUGACUUCAGUCUUCAACAUUGAGGAUCCCUUGAAAUUUCUUUUUCUGGAUUUUCAUACGAAAAGCAUCAUCAUCCUUUCCUUGGAAAAAACCUAGCCUCAGAUUUCCCACGUGUCAAAAUAUGUUAAUUCAAAGACCAUAAGGCUUCAUACCAAAAACUUACAAUUGGAAGAAGUUUCCUCCCUGUGUUUGACACACUUAUAAGAAAUAUUUCCAUGUCAAGUGUGUUUCAUUACAUUGACAUUCCUAGGGGAGGACACAUUUAAUUUUAUUGAUAAUUCAGCAUUUGACAACUCUUGAUUUCGUGGAUCGUAAGUUAUGAACAAUAUCAAAUAAGCACCUGUACUUCAGUUUUCACUAUAAUGAUAUUUUAUUUUCUUUGUUUGUGUCAGAAACCUACCAACUCAACUUUGAGACAUUUUUUUAUCAACACUCUUCUUUCCAUCUAACUUUGCCAGAAAAAGCUUGCUAGGCAGACACAGUCAAAGAAGAUACAUAAGUUGAUCAGAUAACUAAGAGGUCUGGCAAUUGAAUUUUCUUAAAUUUGUUUUCCUUGUGGUGUGUCAAACUAUCAGAUUCUCCCUCCACGAAAGCUUGUCAAAGUCGUCAAUGGUAUUGUUGCUGGCAAAUUUUUUGUGUUAUUUAAGUAUUUCUCCAUCCCCAACUUGUUUGGAAUUGAGGCGUCUUAGUUGUUAUCAUACUAGUUCUAGACACGUGCGGUGCACGUGCUGCCCAUGUCGAAUAAUACAGACGCUAUAAAUCAUAACUACACAUGGAGUGUAAUGAGCAACAAACAAUAUUAAAAGGAAACUGUAAUCUGAAAUUUAUGAACAAUAAGCAUAUUCCAUUAACUUGAUUAACAAUAAAUAAUUAGAUAUUGUCCGCACCUGAAAAAUCAAAAUUUAGUUAAAUAGAUAUGUAUACUGAAUAAUGUUGUUAUUAGGCGCAAACAUGUGAUAUAUUCAUAUCAUACUUAAUAUAUAUUUACAUGUGAUACAUAAUAUAUGUGAAAGGUAGCACAUUAAUGUUAGUACUGGUGGAAAGCUAAAAGUAGUUAAGAUAAAAAGUGAAAAGACUUGCAAUGUAGAAAUAAAGAUUAGCGGAAUAUUAAGAGCUAUUCCAAUAAGUAGUAGGGUGACAUAUAAAAUAAUUGAACAAAAAAACAUCUGAAAAAGCCAUAUCCAAAGAAUCAUAGCCAAAGGGUUGAUUGAAAGUUCAAAUGUUGGGGGAACUGUGUAAAAAAGGGAAGCUCAAGAAAAAAGAUGGUGGAGGUCGAUUACAUCAAAACUAUAAAAAAGGGCAGCCAGGUGCACUAAGCUCCCACUAUGCGUGGGGUCCGGGGAAGGGCCGGGCCACAGGGGUCUAUUGUACGCAGUCUUACCAUGCAUUUUUGGAAGAGGCUGUGAGGAGAAAAUUAAUAACGUAACUUCUGAAGGAGAAGAGAAGCAUCUCUCAAAAGUUUUUCUUGGGCAUGUUCAAAGGUUCAUUAUGUCUGCUCAAGUACAAUGACCAAUAACAAAGCUCUUAAAAAGUGCAUACAAGGAAAUAACAACAAAAUUAAACUAAAAAUUGAGAGUUCAAAGGAUAAUUCUUUGUAACCAACUAUUAGGAAGGUUUAGGCCUUUGUGGCAAAAAUUGUUGAGCGGCUGAGCAAUUCACCAAGGCAGUGGAGUUUUUAAGGGAAAUAGAAAAAUAAUAGAGUAACAAUUUGACAUAAAAACUAAAAAAUGAAGGCUAAAGUGACUUGAAGUGUAGAAUCACUUUUACGGGGCACUUUAUAGAAUUUGAAAAAGAAUAUGAAAAGUUUAACCAACUGAUUAAACAUGAGAAGCUUUUUAGUUAUUUGGCUGAUAUUGAGUAGCUUUUAAAAAUUAUUUAAAUCAUUUAAUGAGAUUUACAAGAAUUUGAGGCUGGUAAAUUUCUUUCUGGCCAUACGGAUGAUCCGAACGUUAUAUCAAACUUAAUGUUUGGCAAGUUAAUGGUCGAAUUGGCAACUAACAAAAAUGCUUUCCCACAUUUAAGUCCUAGAGACUGAAUUGUACAUCACUUUUGACAUUAUAGGUAGUUCUAACUUUGGAAAGAAUCAUUUAGCAGGCGGUAAUUCAACUUUUAGGAUAAGGUAAAAUGGUCGUUCCUUUUAACUUCUCAAAAAAAAAAAAAAAAUGGUCGUUCAAUAUUAAUGGAGAUUUUGGUAAUUCAACUUUGACUGUAGGGGCUUCCCACUUUUAGUAUAAUAUGAAUAGUAAGUAUUUGUAGUCAAGAAAAUAAAUUAAAUACAAAGAAAUAGAAUAAUUAAAAUGAUUAAUAUUUUCCUUAUAAAAAAAAAGUAUAAUAUGAUCAUGUAUUUCUCCAUUUCACAUAGUUUUGAAACUUUCGUCGCGUAUUCCUCCGAUUCCUUAUAAAAGAUACGGAAUUUUUACUCCAAAAGAAGCACUUCAUGAAGUCACACCAUAAGGCCCAUUUGUUAUCUUUCUUUGAUUCCAGAUCAAAGAUUAAUUUCAUCAUUAAUUUCUUCUAUAUUAUACUUCUUUGUUCAAAGAACCUACGGGAAGGGCUGAUUUGCGGAAAGAACUCGAACUUUUUUUCUGAAAAAUAUCAAAAAGAAAUAUUUUAUAACUCUAAACGUUAUAAAAGGAAGGGCUUGCCUAGUGCGGAUUAUCUCUUUUGUGUGGUUUAUGGGCUAUUGCACAAGAGAGGGGUUUACCCUGUUGCGCACCCAAAAGGUAGCGGCUGCGGAUUCCCUUGUCAUAAAAAAUAAACUUCUACAAGGGUAAAUCCAAUUUCAAAAAUUUGAAAACUGAAUUUGUGCUUGUGGAAAUAAUCGAGUAAUCGAGGAUGAAAAAGAAGACCUGAGACAUUUUGAACAAUGCGGAGUCGAAUUUGUUGAUUCUCAUUUUGAUCGAACCGCCUAGUUUUUUGGUUAUUGGUUUAUUAAAAACCGCCUAUUUUUUUGUUUAUUGGUUUAUUGGAAGGCAUAUUUCAUUACAAGAUUCAUCGUCUGGAAUCUUAUAGUUUGGCUAAAAUAACCUGUGGAGGAGGCUACUCCACCUUGAGGGCUAUUGUAAUAGUGUUUUAGGACAUAAUUGCCCGUUACUGGAAUUUCUUAGUUGCAUAUGCAUUCUUAGCAGGAAUUUCAGCUGUGAUGUCAAAAUCAAUUGAUGGGUUGAAGUGUCCCAUGUUUAUUUAGCUUAAGAAAAAAAAGCCUAGCCAGGUUGUGCAAGUCAAUAACAUUCUGUAAGAUUUUCCUGUUGAGGAUAGUUUGUGAUGGUUAUGGCAUGAGAUUUUAUCCCAGAAAAGGACAUUUAAUUUCUCUCUAUAACUGUCUAAAAGUUAAGUAUCUAAAAGUUUGCUGAACCAGAUCCGUAGGCAUGCAAGCUUCCCACUUUAACCAAGUUAAUCUGUUGCUUAAUAAGGAUACCUAAUCGAAAAAAAGAAUAAGGAACUUGAAUAAAGUUCUUUCUUUGAGGAGCUAUGUGAUUUGGGAGUUAGUGCAUGUAACUUUGUCGUUUGGCAGGGUGAAUAAGAAGAGUUCUAGGUGUGCUUCUUCACAGUGGCUUCUCUUAGUCAUAGGUAAGCAAAGUUCAUUAUCCUUGUUAGCGUCUUCUUUGCCGUUCUCCUUCCUCCUACAGGAAAAAGCAGCAUUGUUCCUUGAUUCAGUUCCCCCCUUGCAUACCAUCAUGAGCACCUUUUCUGAUCAGUUGGUUAAUGGAUAUAUGGGAAGUCAAAUUGUUCGUGACUGAAUAGCUGACCCCUCUGCCUUUUACUCCUAGAGUCUCAGAAGGAGCAUUCUGCCUUUGUUAGGGACUGGUUGGGGAGUGAUGUGAUGGUUGUCAGUUUUGUUACGUCCUUUCAAAUUUUGGAUUAUUCCAUAUUACCACAGUUUGCUUGAGUUGUUCCCUGAUGCACUCGCAGUGUCUUUGCCCUUCUCAGUCUCUUUCUGUGGCGUCUUUAUUCAUGGAUUGCAUGGAUCAGUUAGGUCAAAAUUUUAAAAUUGCUCAUGACACAAUUAAAUCGAGCAUACUGGGGAGACGUUCUGUGUUGGUGCCCAGCUGCUGUAACACGGUGGUCUUGUAAGGACUCUGACAAGUAAUGCUGGAAACUUAUUUGUUUUGUCCUACAUUCUGCCUUUCUGCUAAUAUGUAGGUACUGUAUAGUUACACUACUAGUUAGGAACAUCUAAGAGAAUAAUUUCGCCAUAAAUCAUCUGGAGAAUUGUAAAUCAUGAUGCAUAAACAUGCUUCUGCCAAUAAUCAAACUAGCAAUAUUGUGUGUUGCUUGUCAAAAUUGUAGUUAUUGUGGUACCUCGACAAGCAUUAAUAACAUUUCUCAAAUUUUGGUUGAAGCAGAGAUAUGCAUUCCUUACCCACGCUAGUGGGGUCUUGUGUCUUCUAAUCUUUCUAGGUAAGUUGUUAAUGCUAUUCAGCUUUAUUGGUGAAUGGUGAUUACUUAGCUGGAAAACAUUGUUGGGGUUUAAAGUGACGGUUCAACCAUUUUAAAACUUUUGAAUCGCCAUCUUUUUCAUAUUCCUUUUGCCAAAAAACAUGAGAUCGUCACCAUCGCAGUGUGUUAAAAGGUGAACUUGGUUGCAACAGUUUUGUUUGUUACUGUUGUGUCGUUUUUGCUGACCAGUAUGCCAAAAAUUCUAGGGGAAACAACACAAACUACCCAUAAAAUCUAAACUAAUUACCCGUUGUUGCCCCUACUAACACUAAUUACACCAAUACCUAUUCGGCCGAAAUAAAUUACCCGAGAUACCCCUCUUCUAAUUACCCACAUACAUUGUCUAUUUGAUUCCUCCUUCCUUCUUUUGAAUAAUACAAUUUACCUAAUUUUUUAAUCACUUUUGUUAUUUUGUCUUUUGUGCCUUUUUUUGUUUUUUAAUUUUUCUUUUUCUUUUAAAGAUAAAAAUAAAUAUAAAGAUAAAAUUAUUAGCUAUUUUUUUAUACUAAUAAAAAUAUAGAAAAAAUUAAAUAAUUAGAUACAACAAAAAGUGAUUAAGAAAAAUACUAAGGUCGCUAACUUGUUUAUUAAAGCAUAAAUUAAUAGAAAAAUCUUUUAUAUUUUUUUAGAAAUAGAAAUAAAAUUUAUAUUAACAUAUGACUAUUUUUUCUAUUUGUUUCACAAGUACGACUUGCUAAAAUGAUAUAAAAUUAAAAUAUCAAAAUUUUGCUUAAAAUCUACUAGUAUAUAAUAUAUACUAUGCUGGUAAAUAGAGGACUAGAGAGUAUUUUGAAAGAAUGAACCAAUCUUUUAUGAUAUCCUGUUAAUAUAUGAUAUAUAUCAAGUGAGUAUCAUAAAGGACUGAGAAGUUUUUUAAAAGAAUGAAUGAUAUCCUAUUAGUAUGACAUAUACCAUGUGGGUAUUAUAGAGGUGAAGAGGUCUGAGAUUUUUUUUUUUAAAGAAAUAAGUUGUGUUUUUCUUGAAGAAAUGAACCAGUCCUCUAUGAUAGUAUGUCAGUAUAUGAUAUAUAUCAUGUGAGUAUCAUAGAGGGCUGAGGAAGAAUGUACAAAUCAUUUAUGAUGCCUUGUCGGUAUAUGCUAUGUAUCAUAUGGAUAUCAUAGAGGACUCGUAAUUUUUUUAAGGAAUGAACCAGUCUUCUGUAAUACCCUAUAAAUAUAUGAUAUACCAUAUGAGUAUCAGAGAUGAUUGAGUUGUGUUUUUCUUGAAGAAAUGAAGUUAUCUUCUGUGAUAUCCUGUUAGUAUAUGAUAUAUACCAUGUGGUUACCCUAGAUUGCCGAGGAGUGUUUUCUUUAAACCAAUGAACCAAUUCUUUAUGAUACCCUAUUAGUAUAUGAUAUAAACCAUGUGAGUAUCAUAGAUGACAAAAUAGUGUUUUUCUAAGGGUUGAAUCUACCAUCUAUGAGACCCUGUCAGUAUAUGAUAUAUACGAGGUUGGUAUCAUGGAGGACUGAGUGUGUUUUUUAAAGAAUGAACCACCACUCCUGUAUGAUACCCUGUCAGUACAUGGUAUACCAACUGGGUAUCAUAGUCUACUACAACAGUAUACUUCAACUGCUACUUAUUUGAUAGACUAUAUGCUAGCUAAUAAAUUAUUUUUUGAGAUAUAAAAAAAAUAAACAGAUAAGAUAAUAAAUCAGUUAUCCUUUUUAUUGAUAUAAACAAAAGGACAAAAAAAAAAAAAACUAAAUAAAGGAGACAAAAUGUGUGAAGAAUUAGAUUAUGAAAAAAAAAAUGAAAUAAAGAAAAAGAUAGUUUGAAAAGAAUGAAAUUAGAAAAGAAGAAAAAAGUAAAUGAAAAUCACUAGAAAUUUAAAAAGAAAAAUAAAUAAAAAUAGCAAAAACGGUGAAUGAAAUUAGAUUAUGGAGGUAAAAAAGAAUAAAAGAAAAAGAAAUAAAUGAAAUUAAAAAAGGAACAAGAAAUCGAGAAGUAUAAAAAAGAAAGAAAAUAGAAAAAUUUGGGAAGUCAGGUAGUUCUUUUUUUGACUAUGAUUUUCUCUAACUCUUUUCAAUAUUGUGAAGUAUUAGUUAUGUAGAUUUAUAGUAAUUUUUAUGUUGUUUUUAAAUAUGUAAAUUUUAUUAUAAAAUACUUCAAAAAUAUAUACUCGAAAUUGAGUCAAAGAAAGAGUUAUUCUCCAAAAAGGUCAACCUCACAUAAAUUGAGACGAAAUAGGUAUAUAUCUUAAAUACCUAACAAUAGAUAAAACUUCAUAUUUUUCAAAAAACAAAAAGAAGAUAAAAUGUCUUAUCACUCAUUGAUUUUAUUUUUAAAAAACUUGAUUGUAUAAUUUACUUGUGUUUAUCCCGAAUUUGGAUAAUCAAUUAAAUUUGUGAGUGAGUAUAGGAUAUGUGGUUAAGCCUCAAUCUAUUUUGGUGGAAAAAGAUAUGUAUGGAUAUGAUAUGAAGAAAGUAAUACUGAUCAGAGAUUCGCUAUAGAUUUAUGUGUCUAUUAAUGAGUAAUACUUGAUUGAACAAAUUUAAGAGAUGAACACAAUGAAUCCGGACCUGAAUCCGAUAUUGAGAGAGAGAUUUGUAUAUAUUUUCUAGUACAAAAUGUUCUUGAUAUGAGGAAGACAACCCCUCAAAAGUGGAGCAAUGACCCUUAUUUAUGGUAUUGUCCCAUGGGCUUCAUACAACAAGAGGCCCUAAAAAAUAAAGAAAAACUCUGAAAUGGAUUAGGUUGGUCGUACGGUCUGACACCCGUACGAUUGGCAGUUAAACAUGGCAGGACGUUAUCGACGCGUGGCAAUCGCGUAACGGACCUCCCGGACCAACGGCCACGAUCAAACGGACUAACGGCCACAAUCAAACGGAUUAACGGCCUCGAUUAACUUGGCUAUGGAGAAACCGGACCAAAUAAUGUUCUUCCCUCUCUUCCUUCGGUCUCUGGUCCUACCGGUUUGACAUAUAUCCGGUUUUUACCGUAUACAGAUAGUCCCCACACUUUCCGGACCGUAGUUUUAUCGGAGUAACGGGAAGUGGAUGCAUCAAGAAACCGGUGGCUCAAUCUAUCCGUUGUUAUCUUUUCAUUUUGGCAGGAACAGUUGUCACGUCCCUCUGUCAUCGGCCACGUGUUCUCAUCCCGGAUGGUCAACUCUGACAACCGCCGUAACACACGUCGCUUCAAGUCAUUCCUCAUUAAUUAUGGGACCCGUGGCACUCCUUGGUUGGCUGGGAACUGUAACCGCCUCGACCCCAUGUCUAUAUAACGUCUCCCAACACUUCAUUUUUUCAUUUUACGAUCCCUUUAAUCUCAUCUUCAAUCCUUCACUUCAUUUUCUCACAGCUUCAGUUCUUCAUUUCAUCUCCUCGCUUACUUUCUUCCAAUUCACAUCUCUCGUUGAUUUGUUCCUUAUAGUACGUAAAAAAGGAACGAUUCUGCCAACUUCACCACCUGUUGUUCUUGUGUGUUGCUGCUUCUUUCUUUCGUUCUUUACCAUUUUUGAAUUCAUUGAUUGUCCCCUUCACUUUUUAACUUCCUUUUCGAAAUCACCCAAUCUCUCUUUUCCAUAUUUUCAAAUGUCUGCCAACACCGAAACUACUUCCCAUGACGUCCCCUCGGUUUCUUCUUAAGGAACCGAGCCAACUUCUCCAGCCAAGGGGAAGGUCUCCUUCGAACCUACCACUUCGGACAUUGUACCGGCCAAACCUAAUUUCAACAAAGACUUCGAGGUUGAAAAACCUUCUCCGGUAUCCGAUAGAGGGUUCGAUGUGAGACGAUAUCCCCCAUCCAUUACCGAGGAUAAGCUUGACUUAGUCCGGGCUGAUUGUGGAUGGAACAGCCGUUCAGUCCAAGUUUUUUCCCCCGGGCCGGACGAAUCAAUCACCAACAAUCGGGAAGGCUUCUUAUACGUUUAUACUUACCCUUUCACCUUCAAGCUCAACCCCCCGGUCGAUCCGGUCAUCUUAGACAUGUGCUGGACUUACAACGUGACCUUGGCACAGAUUGGCUCAAUUGUUUGGAGGGCCGUGGCCUGCCUCCGGCUGUUGUCCAAUAAUGCAGAAAAGGAAUUCACGCUGGCCCACUUAAUACGACUAUAUUCCCCGAGGUUGUUCCGGGGUGGUGUAAUAAAACUCGCAAAGCAUAGCCGGAAUCCAAUUUUUUCAAAAAUGGACGAAGAUAGAGACCGGGGAUGGUUGGAGCGAUAUGUCCGGGUGCGGACCUCGGACAUCAUUCCGGACAACUACAUGCCUUUCCCGGAAAGGUGGAACAAUAAGCCUGUGGGUUGGAUUCCUCUGGUCGUUCGGAAUCUCAACGAAUGGGUUACUGCUCUCUUUAGCCAACAUGCCCACGACGAUCGGACAUGGGGUCACCUGUCACGUGGCCGAUGGGUCGCCCAGAACCACGGUAAUACUUUGCUCCUAUCCGUUAUUCAUUGCAUCUUCUACCCUUCUGUAACAUCUUCGAUUCUCAGGUUUACCUAAAGGCUCGGUGGAUCCAAGGCCGGAGUCAGCAGCCGAACCCGCAACGUCGGUACCUGAGUUCGAUUCAGCGGGUGCAUCUCGUAUCCUUGCUGCCGCCGCCAAGAGAAAAAGGCCCUCAGACAAAGGGCAGAAACCGAAGAAAAGGGCGAGGAGUGUCGUUAGGACUUUAAGGGAUGAAGCAGAGCCCGAGCUCCUCGUUCGGAGGAUCAGUGUUGCCCCUUCCAUGGCUUCCAUUCCGGAGGGGGGCAUUACCGUUUCACCACCUCCUUCAGCUGGGGAAGGACCUUCAGCUCCGGCAUUAUACACAGGUGAAGAAGAAAUUCAUUACCUGACUCCUCUAAGGUCGAUUGAAUUCAUUGAUAUUUCAGGCGAUGUUUCUUCCGAAGAGACCCCUCUGCAAAGGACAAGAAGACCUUGGGAGGCACCCGCUGUUGAAGCUGGUCAAAGGACUGAGCCGGUCCCGGAGACCGAAGUCCCCAUUAAUGUUCAUCCGAUGCCCGACCAUGAGGCUGCUGCAACGUCGGAGAUCCCUGCCUUUGCCGAAGCUGCUGAAGUCCUUCCAAGUUCUCCAGCCCCGGCUUCAAGAUCGGAUGAGUUCGAAGACAUGUUUUUGGACACCCCUCCAGCUACCGGCGAAGCUGCUGGUUUCGGACAUCUCCCGAUCCCUUGAGCCACGAGGGAGGCUAGUCGGACCACCGAGUCCGGUGUUAGGGAUAGCUUGGUCCGCACCUUUCUGGCCCCUAGUGUGGAACCGAGGAGGACAAGAUCGGCUGUGAUCACCGUUCCUGAGGAUUGCAGUUUUCUUUCUCGCCCGGUGGGCGUGGCAAGCUACCUGAGGCCCCUUGUCUCAGACUCGGACAAACGAAAGAUGAACGGAGUCCCUUGGCAGUGCCUCAUUAACGAGGGUAUGCACGCGGGCAAUCGAAGUGUGGUGCUUGUCAACAAAGCCUUUGUCCGUGCUCAGCAAGAGGUGGACGAUCUUAUGGCCCAGAUAUGUGAUGAUCUAAAAACCGAGCUCGCGGAGACGGUCGAUGCUAAUGAUACUCUCAAGGCCGAGCUCGAGUCGGCCACUCAAAUGCAAAAUGUCCUCGAAGAGGCUCGGGAUGUUCUGGUGGCAAAGCUAGCCCAGGCCGAGGCCGAUUUGGAAGAAUCUCUAAAAAGCGUGGAGGUCGCCGAGGCUCAUACUACUAUUACCGCUGAGUAUGAAAAGUGGAAGUCUCGGAGGAUCACUCUUGAGCAAGCCGAGCAUGGCUUUGCGGAUCUUCCGGCCCUGAUACUCGAGGUUAAAAGAGUCGAGGAAGAGGCUAAGGGUGCCCUCGGGGCUGACUCCGAUGACUCCGAGCGGACAGUGUCCGAGCACUCCGGAUCCAGCCAUACCAGAUAGAUUAGGGCCUAUACUUAGCCUUUUAUUUUUUGUCUUUUGCAGGAGU